RNAcentral lists this ribosomal RNA (505 nucleotides) under uncultured bacterium. RNAcentral's name for it is "partial 16S ribosomal RNA". It matches the Rfam family "Bacterial small subunit ribosomal RNA", at positions 29 to 523 of the family's 1533-position model. The record is from RNAcentral.
AGUGAACGCUGGCGGUAGGCCUAACACAUGCAAGUCGAACGGCAGCACAGGAGAGCUUGCUCUCUGGGUGGCGAGUGGCGGACGGGUGAGGAAUACAUCGGAAUCUACUUUUUCGUGGGGGAUAACGUAGGGAAACUUACGCUAAUACCGCAUACGACCUACGGGUGAAAGCAGGGGACCUUCGGGCCUUGCGCGAUUGAAUGAGCCGAUGUCGGAUUAGCUAGGUGGCGGGGUAAAGGCCCACCAAGGCGAUGAUCCAUAGCUGGUCUGAGAGGAUGAUCAGCCACACUGGAACUGAGACACGGUCCAGACUCCUACGGGAGGCAGCAGUGGGGAAUAUUGGACAAUGGGCGCAAGCCUGAUCCAGCCAUACCGCGUGGGUGAAGAAGGCCUUCGGGUUGUAAAGCCCUUUUGUUGGGAAAGAAAUCCAGCUGGCUAAUACCCGGUUGGGAUGACGGUACCCAAAGAAUAAGCACCGGCUACUUCGUGCCAGCCGCCGCCGUAA